Molecule: long non-coding RNA, 2851 nt
Filed under: Homo sapiens (human)
Lineage: Eukaryota; Metazoa; Chordata; Mammalia; Primates; Hominidae
Description: HSALNT0240120
Source: RNAcentral
CAGACCUGGAGAGCAGAAGACCUGGGCCGGGAGCGGGGCUUUGCCAGGGUCCAUUGUACUCACGCUGGGGGGCUAGAGACCUUCUUUUACUGGUUCUGCUUAUCAGCCAAACUUCACCUAACCUUUGGACUUGUUAAGCCAGUGCCUUGCAGCCUAGGCGCGGGGCUUUUCCACCGGUUCUCAGUUCCGCUUUAGUCCAGAGAGAAGACACUACGCUUCGGGGUUCAGUUUGUUGUAAUAGGUGCAAAUCUUUGCUUCUCAUAAUUCUGCCCAAUGGAAGAACAUUCUCUGCCUACCCAGCUUGCCUCAAGAAGGAUAAUGAAGUGUUCAGAGUAAAUGUCCCUGAAGAACAAUCUCUUCGUCUGUCUCUCACUCGCUAUCAGGAUAGAAGCAUCAAGUGUAAUGAAGAUCAGUUUCUGUGUUAAGCUGGGAAAACCCAUUUAAAAAACAGCAAUCACUUCUGUUGUAACAACAAAACUUUGAUUGGCAGUUGCAGCUGCUGUGUGCCCCAUCUGAUUCCCAAGCCUCAUUCUCUCUCAAAAUUCAGGUGUCAGCAAACCCAUUCUUCCCCACACCCCAGCUAACUAUGUGAAUGUGCAGGCAAUUUCACACAGAGGAUAGGACAAACUUCCUAUGAGUGUCCAGGUAUGUUUUCCAGGUAAUCUGGCUAUUCAUAUCUAGCAACUUCCUGUAAUGCUCCUUCCUAGUCCUACCUUGUAAUAUGCCACUUUGUGCAAUAUAAGCGCUUAUCAAGUAAUUGUUCUGUACUAUAGAUCUUCAAACAGAUUCACCAGUCCCUUCAUAUGGAAGUUUAAAAAGAGCUGUGUAAAGUAGACCAGCAGAUAGUCUUUCAGAAUGCAGUUCAUAAUGUUAAGUGAGCUAUCUUGUAAAACUCUUCAGUUAAACUUCCCCCAAAUAGAGGAAGACGGAGUAGGAUUGAAAUAACAUCUGUUUAUGCUUCACACAGAAUAAAGUCGUGAUGGACUGAUAUAAUAACUCCAUUUUAAAGAUGGAAAAGGUUUGGAGUAGUCAAACAGAACUAAACUUGAACCCAAGAUCUGCUUCACCUGCUGUGUGACUUUUGGCAUGUUACAUAAUCUUUCUGAUCCUCAGUUUCCUCAGUGCAAAAUGAUAAUGACACUCUACUGUGCCGGUGUGAAGAUUAGGUGAGUUAGUAACCACAGGUUCCUAGAAUAUGGUGGGCUCUCACGUAUUUAGAAAGAAGAGGCACAUCUUGAUAACAUGCUGAGAACUGAGGCAACUGAUGUCUUUAGGCUCUUAUAGUCCCAGCAUGUUUUUAAGAGCUACUGAAUUUGAAGAGACCAUAUCAGUUUCAUCUGCUCAAAUUAGAUGAAUUUGCAGUUCAUAUCCCAAGGUUUGUUGUUCUUGUUUUUUAUAGGACGUGCAAUCCCUGGUAUAAAAUAAGUUGAAAUCCAGUUGACUCAUCAUUCUAUGAAGGUGUUCUGAGCACCAUGCUGGUCAUUCCACAGAUUGGCAAAUGUGGCUUCUGUGAACUCAUCUCCCCUGGAACUUAGCAGCACAAGCGAUAUUUCUUUUCUGAUUUGUGCAUGCAAUCUUUCCCCUACUUUUCACGGUUGCACUUCUUUGUUUACAGAAGAGAUUCUGGUCAUUUCCACCCCUGCCACUCCACUCUCCCAGCCUCUCUCAUUGGUUCACAGAGUAUCUAGAAGGCCUCAAAAUAAAAUCAUCUCUAGAGUAAAACAUAAAUACCAUCCUAACCUGUUCUGCAGGAGGUCAGGGGCCUUCUUGUUAGAGAGCAGUGUUGCAACCUGGAGAACAUUCUAGACAUCAGGGUCUGGAAAGAGCCUGAGGUUCUUCUUCUGGCUACAAAACCUCUUUCUGGGUGAUUCAUCUCCCCAAAAGUUUUGGUGAGCACCUUCUCUGGGUCUCUGAUUCUACCUUUGAAAAAUGGCUAUUGGUCUGGAUAACCAUUUAGGUCCUCCAACUUUUUUUUAUAAUUUGAAAUUCCUAAAAGGUCUUAAAUUAUUAGGGUGUCUACUUGCAGGCCUUCGGGCAGAUGGGCCAAGAGCUCAGGCCAGACCUCUGUGUAGUAGUGGACAUGAAGCCUUGACUAGCCACGAAAAAAUAUACCACAGAGAGCAAACCCUAUGAGGGGCAGGCAUCUUCUCAUGUCUUACUCCUCAGUGCCUGGAGAAGUGCUGGUGCAUGGUAGAUGCUCAAGAAAAUGCUUACUGAGUAAACGAACAUGUGAUUGCCUCUGGACAAUACUGUUAAAACUAAAUACUUGCCAGGUGUGGUGGCUCACACCUGUGAUAGUUCUUUGGGAGGCCGAGGUGGGAGGAUAGCUUGAGCCCAGGAGUUCAAGCAAAAUAGUGAGACCCUGUCUCUACAAAAAUAAAAAAUAAAAAAAUUAGCCAGGCAUGGUAGUGCAUGCUUAUAGUCCUGGCUACUCAGGAGGCUGAGGUGGGAGGAUCGCUUGAACCCAGGAGUCUGAGGUUCCAUUGAACUAUGAUCGUGUCACUGCACUUCAGCCUGGGUGACAGAAUGAGACCCCAUUCUCUAAAUAAAUAAAUAACUACUUUCACCAGACACGAAAGAGUAUAUACUGUGUGAUUCCAUUUAUAUAAAGUUAAAAAGUGGAAAAACAAAUCCGUGGUGCUGGAGGUUUCUGGGGUGCUAGAAAUGGUUCUAUAUUUUGAUUGGGAUGGUGGAUCCAUCACCAGGCUAUACAUGUGGGAUCUGUGCAUGUUGCCAUAUGUAAGUUAUAAAUUAGUAUAAAGUAAAUUAAAUAAAUUACUCCAAGUAUAAAAUGUAAACAGUGUGGGGCCGGGCGCGGUGGCUCAUGCCUGUAAUCCCAGCACUUUGGGAG